ACAUACAUUAGUCGUCUACUUUCUGAGGCAGGGGUCAGUAACGUGACUGGUUUAUCUCUCAUUAUGAAUUUGAAAGUAUGAGGGAAACGCCUAAGAGCAUAUUUAAGAGGCGGUAACAAGGAGGACGGGGCACCUCUUCAAAACACUGGUGUCUCUAACAGGCACCCUUACUGGCAGUUGGUAUUGACGGUUGCUCUGUGGACAAGAAGCUUUGCUUUCUGUGAGGAUGGAAGAGAGGGAGGCAUGGUUAUAUUCGCCUGGUACUCCUGUUGGUUCAUGGAUUAAACACUGGCUGUUUGUUCACUCAAGGUCUAAACACUUACUGGAGGAGGAGUCUCAAAUUGACCACUGGCCAUCUCACCCAUUUUGCACCAGAAAGAGAUUUGUGUUGGCCCUUCUCGUCAUCCUGGCCCUGGUUGCCAUGGUUCUGCUUCUGCUGCUGAAUUAUUAUUGUAUUAUGGUCUGGCACCUGUGUCAACAGGAAGAGUACAGUGUUCUCCCGAUGUUUCCAAGCACUACACCAGAGCCGGAAAAUCAGGACUGACUUUGAAUGAGAGCUAUGUGGUUAAACUUGAGACAUCUGAAUAGUGAUUUUAGCUACAUUUGUUUGUUAUUUGGUUUUCUUUUAAUAUUUGGUGCACUCAUCAGGGAUGCAUUUUUUGUGUUAUGCUGCUGUGCUGUUUGAAGAACGGGUAUAACACUGAAAAUUACCAGGUUCCUGUUGCAUAUUUAAUGUGUAACUUAUGGUUUAUGAAGGAAAUAAUUCACACUCUGGUUACCCAGUUCCUGAACUUUUUUUUUUCUUGAUUUAGUUUUCUAUUUAGUCAAAUUACAUCAGAUUUAUCGUUACAAGCUUGAAAAUUGUCAGUUCUAAAUUGCAAAGUCUAUAUUUAUGUCUGUUUUUAAAAAAAAUGUAUCCACUGGAGCUUUACAUGUUUGAGAGACUGAAUUAAGUUCUUGUUUAAAUUGUGUGUCUGCUUAUUAUCACAAAACUUUAAACUUAAACAAGGAUGUAACCAAAAGGGGACCAAAGGUAGAGGUUUAGUUAUAAUAAAGUUAUUCUUUGAAAUAAAAUAAGCAUUACUGUGCAUAGUUUGCAAACAUUUUCAUCCACAGUAAUAACCAAAACUUUGAGUGAUGUCAUGUGAUUGCUAAACUGCUUGAAUAUUCUUUGUGUUUUUGUAGAGCAGGACAUGCUCCUUUCAACACUCAGAGUCAUCCCUUUAGACCACCAAACCUCAGAAAUUCUUACCAGAUGUAGAGUAGUGCAUUGGGGAUACAAAAUAGGCCAGUUAAUGCACUAUCCCCCUGUUCUUGUCAGGAAUUAUGCUAUUCAGCUGGCUCUGUCAGCCUUUAAGUAGAUGCAGUGGACAUUGAGAGAGCACUGAAUGGGGAGAGAAAAUUUGAAUUCUAGUCAGUUGCACCAGUGAACACUUGAAAAGACAGUAUCAAACAGAAGACGGCAAAUGAUUUGGGGAUGUUUGGGAGACGCCCUUUUCCUGCACUAGAUUUUAAUCAAUGAAGGAAAUGUCUAAUCUACUCUAUUUUAUUCCCAAAGACAAGAACAAUUGCUGCAAGCACAUUUUACUAAAAUAAGAGCAACAAUGCAAUGGUGUGUACUGUAUAUUAAAAGUAAAACUUUUUAAAUGACUGAGGCACCUUUAAGCAAACUUAAAAAAAUUGUGGAAUUUUACACAAUCUAAGCAAAAUCUUUAGCAAACUCUGGCAAAUAUAAUCAUGAAAAAUAUACUUAACUGAGAUUGUAACAAUAACAAACUAUUAUAUUCUUAACAUUGAGAAGUUUUCAAAUGUUCUUCAUAACAAUGAAAUACAUAUUUUGUAUAUUUACAUAUUCCUAACAAUAAAAUGUUUCAUGUCUCU
Long non-coding RNA from Myxocyprinus asiaticus (Chinese sucker), 1881 nucleotides. RefSeq lists it as uncharacterized. NCBI's taxonomy places the organism in Eukaryota, Metazoa, Chordata, Actinopteri, Cypriniformes, Catostomidae. The transcript has 2 exons. The record is from RefSeq and is a predicted model, not a curated record.